ACUCAAUAGAUACCCGGGUAGUCCUAGCCUUAAACGAUGGAUGCUUGGUGUCUGGGGUAAUAAAGUCCCCGGGUGCCGUCGCUAAACGCUUUUAGCAUCCCGCCUGGGGAGUACGGUCGCAAGACUGAAACUCAAAGGAAUUGACGGGGACCCGCACAAGCGGUGGAGCAUGUGGUUUAAUUCGACGCAACGCGAAGAACCUUACCUGGGCUAGAAUGCCUCUGACCACUCCAGAGAUGGAGAUUCCCAUGGAAACAUGGGCAGACGUGCAACGGUGCUGCAUGGCUAGUCGUCAGCUCGU
RNAcentral lists this ribosomal RNA (301 nucleotides) under uncultured bacterium. RNAcentral describes it as "bacterial SSU rRNA". It matches the Rfam family "Bacterial small subunit ribosomal RNA", at positions 772 to 1063 of the family's 1533-position model. The record is from RNAcentral.